RNAcentral lists this ribosomal RNA (450 nucleotides) under uncultured organism. RNAcentral's name for it is "partial 16S ribosomal RNA". It matches the Rfam family "Bacterial small subunit ribosomal RNA", at positions 331 to 797 of the family's 1533-position model. The record is from RNAcentral.
GUACACUCCUGCGGGAGGCAGCAGUGGGGAAUAUUGGACAAUGGGCGCAAGCCUGAUCCAGCCAUGCCGCGUGAGUGAUGAAGGCCCUAGGGUUGUAAAGCUCUUUCACCGGAGAAGAUAAUGACGGUAUCCGGAGAAGAAGCCCCGGCUAACUUCGUGCCAGCAGCCGCGGUAAUACGAAGGGGGCUAGCGUUGUUCGGAAUUACUGGGCGUAAAGCGCACGUAGGCGGAUCGAUCAGUCAGGGGUGAAAUCCCAGGGCUCAACCCUGGAACUGCCUUUGAUACUGUCGAUCUGGAGUAUGGAAGAGGUGAGUGGAAUUCCGAGUGUAGAGGUGAAAUUCGUAGAUAUUCGGAGGAACACCAGUGGCGAAGGCGGCUCACUGGUCCAUUACUGACGCUGAGGUGCGAAAGCGUGGGGAGCAAACAGGAUUAGAUACCCCGGUAGUCCCA